This 335-nucleotide long non-coding RNA is filed under the name Setaria viridis. Its description in RNAcentral is "long non-coding RNA (SVIR_LNC005845)". Lineage: Eukaryota; Viridiplantae; Streptophyta; Magnoliopsida; Poales; Poaceae. The record is from RNAcentral.
UAGGGGCAACCCCUCCUGUUUCCCUCAAAAUUGAAAUGUGCAGUACUAUGUACAUUAUUCUAAACUCUGUUGUGUAAUAAAGAUGAGACUAUUCGGUGUCUUUGCGAGUAUCAGCCUUUUUUUUUUGAAACGAUGUAGUAUCAGCCUUGAUGAUGUAGGAACUGAUAGAGUAAGCACACGAUUUCCAAAGAGGGGACCCCACAUCUACCACCAAGUUAAAAGGGAUUUGGGGAUAAUGGUUCCCCUUGUCUUAACUCCUUUUGAUUGGAAUUUGGAAGUAGUGACCAUCACCAUUAACCUUGAUAGUAAGCUCCCUCCAUUUCAAAAUAUAAGGU